This 376-nucleotide unclassified non-coding RNA is filed under the name soil metagenome. RNAcentral's name for it is "partial contains 5.8S ribosomal RNA, internal transcribed spacer 2, and large subunit ribosomal RNA". The stretch from base 1 to 120 matches the Rfam family "5.8S ribosomal RNA", at positions 35 to 154 of the family's 154-position model. The record is from RNAcentral.
GAUGAAGAACGCAGCGAAAUGCGAUAAGUAAUGUGAAUUGCAGAAUUCAGUGAAUCAUCGAAUCUUUGAACGCAUCUUGCGCUCCUUGGUAUUCUGAGGAGCAUGCCUGUUUGAGUGUCAUUAAAUUCUCAACUACACUGACUUUGAAUUGGUGUGGCUUGGAUUUGGGGGGAAAAUUGUUGUGGGCUUUUUGUAUAGUCUGCUCCCCUGAAAUUGAUUAGCGGUACCUUUGUGGAACUGACUACAGGUGUGAUAAUUAUCUACAUCUUAGACAUCUGCUGGAAUGCUGCUUUCUAAACCUUACUUGUAUUGACAAUCUUGACCUCAAAUCAGGUAGGACUACCCGCUGAACUUAAGCAUAUCAAUAAGCGGAGGA